AGCGAACGCUGGCGGCAGGCCUAACACAUGCAAGUCGAACGAACUCUUCGGAGUUAGUGGCGGACGGGUGAGUAUCACGUGGGAACGUGCCUUUUGGUUCGGAAUAACUCAGGGAAACUUGUGCUAAUACCGAAUGUGCCCUUCGGGGGAAAGAUUUAUCGCCAUUAGAGCGGCCCGCGUCUGAUUAGCUAGUUGGUGAGGUAACGGCUCACCAAGGCGACGAUCAGUAGCUGGUCUGAGAGGAUGACCAGCCACACUGGGACUGAGACACGGCCCAGACUCCUACGGGAGGCAGCAGUGGGGAAUCUUGCGCAAUGGGCGAAAGCCUGACGCAGCCAUGCCGCGUGAAUGAUGAAGGUCUUAGGAUUGUAAAAUUCUUUCACCGGGGACGAUAAUGACGGUACCCGGAGAAGAAGCCCCGGCUAACUUCGUG
This 433-nucleotide ribosomal RNA is filed under the name uncultured bacterium. RNAcentral describes it as "partial 16S ribosomal RNA". It matches the Rfam family "Bacterial small subunit ribosomal RNA", at positions 29 to 507 of the family's 1533-position model. The record is from RNAcentral.